AUCCGCGUGAUUCCUUGCCCUUUGGAUUGAACCACUGGUCUGAGUGCCUUAGAAAGGAGGAGAAGUAAAACUGAAGCGCGCUUCUGAUCUUUCAGGGCAUUUCAAAUAGUG
RNAcentral lists this small nucleolar RNA (111 nucleotides) under Echinops telfairi (small Madagascar hedgehog). Its description in RNAcentral is "Small nucleolar RNA SNORA61 (ENSETEG00000024909.1)". The record is from RNAcentral. Lineage: Eukaryota; Metazoa; Chordata; Mammalia; Afrosoricida; Tenrecidae.